UGGCGGACGGGUGAGUAAUGUCUGGGGAACUGCCUGAUGGAGGGGGAUAACUACUGGAAACGGUAGCUAAUACCGCAUAACGUCGCAAGACCAAAGAGGGGGACCUUCGGGCCUCUUGCCAUCGGAUGUGCCCAGAUGGGAUUAGCUAGUAGGUGGGGUAACGGCUCACCUAGGCGACGAUCCCUAGCUGGUCUGAGAGGAUGACCAGCCACACUGGAACUGAGACACGGUCCAGACUCCUACGGGAGGCAGCAUG
RNAcentral lists this ribosomal RNA (256 nucleotides) under uncultured bacterium. RNAcentral describes it as "partial 16S ribosomal RNA". It matches the Rfam family "Bacterial small subunit ribosomal RNA", at positions 96 to 353 of the family's 1533-position model. The record is from RNAcentral.